AGACAGAGGAGGCGAGCGUUGCUCGGAAUCACUGGGCUUAAAGCGGGUGUAGGCGGCCGCGCAAGUGUCGUGUGAAAGCCCACGGCUCAACCGUGGAACAGCACGGCAAACUGCGUGGCUUGAGGUCGGCAGAGGUGGCUGGAACUCUCGGUGGGGCGGUGAAAUGCGUAGAUAUCGAGAGGAACGCCGGAGGCGAAAGCGGGCCACUGGGCCGGUUCUGACGCUGAGACCCGAAAGCGUGGGGAGCAAACAGGAUUAGAAACCCUAGUAGUCC
This 274-nucleotide ribosomal RNA is filed under the name uncultured bacterium. Its description in RNAcentral is "partial 16S ribosomal RNA". It matches the Rfam family "Bacterial small subunit ribosomal RNA", at positions 523 to 796 of the family's 1533-position model. The record is from RNAcentral.